RNAcentral lists this ribosomal RNA (482 nucleotides) under uncultured bacterium. Its description in RNAcentral is "bacterial SSU rRNA". It matches the Rfam family "Bacterial small subunit ribosomal RNA", at positions 28 to 507 of the family's 1533-position model. The record is from RNAcentral.
GAUGAACGCUAGCGGCAGGCUUAAUACAUGCAAGUCGAGGGGCAGCGCGGGUAGCAAUACCUGGCGGCGACCGGCAAACGGGUGCGGAACACGUACGCAACCUUCCCAUAACUGGUGAAUAGCCCUCCGAAAGGAGGAUUAAUACACCGUAAGAUAACGAAGAGGCAUCUCUUUGUUAUUAUAGCUACGGCGGUUUUGGAUGGGCGUGCGCCUGAUUAGGUAGUUGGCGGGGUAACGGCCCACCAAGCCUACGAUCAGUAACUGGUGUGAGAGCACGACCAGUCACACGGGCACUGAGACACGGGCCCGACUCCUACGGGAGGCAGCAGUAAGGAAUAUUGGUCAAUGGACGCAAGUCUGAACCAGCCAUGCCGCGUGAAGGAUGAAGGUCCUCUGGAUUGUAAACUUCUUUUAUCUGGACGAAAAAGGGCUUUCUAGCUCACUUGACGGUACCAGAGGAAUAAGCACCGGCUAACUCCGUG